CAGAGAGAGAUCCCUUUGAGAGCGUCCGUCGAUCCGGCUGAGCCACGCGAGGCGGUGAGAUCCGAGAGCCUCCAAUCGGCGGUGGCAGCGACGCUGCUCUUCGACGGCGUUCGGCGCGAUUUGUGACGACAGGGAAUCGAACAGAGCUGCUUCGCCGAUUCGCGAUUGGAUCCAGAGAUCCAAUCAAGGGUUUCAAACGCACCAGAUGAUGAGCCGAUCAGAGAGAGAGAGAGUCCCCGAGACCAUUCGGCCGU
RNAcentral lists this long non-coding RNA (254 nucleotides) under Eucalyptus grandis. Its description in RNAcentral is "long non-coding RNA (EGRA_LNC006722)". Lineage: Eukaryota; Viridiplantae; Streptophyta; Magnoliopsida; Myrtales; Myrtaceae. The record is from RNAcentral.